RNAcentral lists this ribosomal RNA (497 nucleotides) under uncultured bacterium. RNAcentral's name for it is "partial 16S ribosomal RNA". It matches the Rfam family "Bacterial small subunit ribosomal RNA", at positions 28 to 507 of the family's 1533-position model. The record is from RNAcentral.
GAUGAACGCUGGCGGCGUGCCUAAUACAUGCAAGUCGAGCGAACAGACGAGGAGCUUGCUCCUCUGACGUUAGCGGCGGACGUGUGAGUAACACGUGGAUAACCUACCUAUAAGACUGGGAUAACUUCGGGAAACCGGAGCUAAUACCGGAUAAUAUAUUGAACCGCAUGGUUCAAUAGUGAAAGACGGUUUUGCUGUCACUUAUAGAUGGAUCCGCGCCGCAUUAGCUAGUUGGUAAGGUAACGGCUUACCAAGGCAACGAUGCGUAGCCGACCUGAGCGGGUGAUCGGCCACACUGGAACUAAGACACGGUCCAGACUCCUACGGGAGGCAGAAGCAGGGAAUCUUCCGCAAUGCGCGAAAGCCUGACGGAGCAACGCCGCGUGAGUGAUGAAGGUCUUCGGAUCGUAAAACUCUGUUAUUAGGGAAGAACAAAUGUGUAAGUAACUAUGCACGUCUUGACGGUACCUAAUCAGAAAGCCACGGCUAACUACGUG